UCUCGGGGGGCUUAAUGGGUUAAGGAUCCAGCAUUGUUGCUGCUGUGGCUCAGGUUCGAUCCCUGGCCCAGGAA
Molecule: transfer RNA, 74 nt
Filed under: Sus scrofa (pig)
Lineage: Eukaryota; Metazoa; Chordata; Mammalia; Artiodactyla; Suidae
Rfam family: tRNA
About the family: Transfer RNA (tRNA) molecules are approximately 80 nucleotides in length. Their secondary structure includes four short double-helical elements and three loops (D, anti-codon, and T loops). Further hydrogen bonds mediate the characteristic L-shaped molecular structure. tRNAs have two regions of fundamental functional importance: the anti-codon, which is responsible for specific mRNA codon recognition, and the 3' end, to which the tRNAs corresponding amino acid is attached (by aminoacyl-tRNA synthetases). tRNAs cope with the degeneracy of the genetic code in two manners: having more than one tRNA (with a specific anti-codon) for a particular amino acid; and 'wobble' base-pairing, i.e. permitting non-standard base-pairing at the 3rd anti-codon position.
Source: Rfam by way of RNAcentral